GAUGAACGCUGGCGGCGUGCCUAAUACAUGCAAGUCGAGCGAACGGACGAGAAGCUUGCUUCUCUGAUGUUAGCGGCGGACGGGUGAGUAACACGUGGAUAACCUACCUAUAAGACUGGGAUAACUUCGGGAAACCGGAGCUAAUACCGGAUAAUAUUUUGAACCGCAUGGUUCAAAAGUGAAAGACGGUCUUGCUGUCACUUAUAGAUGGAUCCGCGCUGCAUUAGCUAGUUGGUAAGGUAACGGCUUACCAAGGCAACGAUGCAUAGCCGACCUGAGAGGGUGUUCGUCGCCUCAGGAUCUGCGCCAGGUUCCUGACUCCGACGGGAGGCAGCAGUAGGGAAUCUUCAACAAUGGGCGAAAGCCUGGCGAACCGACGCCGCGUGAGUGUUGAAGUGCUUCGGAUCGUAAAACUCUUUUAUUAGGGAAGAACAUAUGUGUAAGUAACUGUGCUCAUCUUGACGUUACCUAAUCAGAAGGCCACGGCUAACUACGUG
RNAcentral lists this ribosomal RNA (497 nucleotides) under uncultured bacterium. Its description in RNAcentral is "partial 16S ribosomal RNA". It matches the Rfam family "Bacterial small subunit ribosomal RNA", at positions 28 to 507 of the family's 1533-position model. The record is from RNAcentral.